GCCAUUUUGUGCCGCCGAUCGCUUCCCUUUCCCCUCCCGCCGCCGCCGCCGCUGCGAACAGCCCGCUGCCAAGUCCUCCCUCCGCCUCCGCAGCCCCCCGCCCCGGCACGCCCCGGCCGCGGCUGGGCCCCGAACGGGAAAGCCUGAAGGAACCGUCCCCACCCUCCCGGGGCACGGUGAUACUGAGAUGCGGCGUAGGGGACGGAGGAGAGGAGAGGAGCGCCCGGCCGGCCCGGGGCCGGAGCACUGACCUGCGGCAGCCGGAGGAGAAUGCCGGCGGCCUGGAUGAGCUCGCAGCCCAGGAUGCGUAAGUCCGUCUCACUGGGCAGGUCGAGCCCAUCCUGCAUGGAUGGGGUGGGCGAGAGCCUCUCCUCCGGAAUCAGAGAGUGGUCGAUGGUAAGUGAAACUUCCGAGUACAGGCGAUCGCCGAUCAGGAUCCCUCCCGUCGUGGUCGUCGUCGUGGUCGUCGUCCCGGAGCUGGAGCCGCCCGCGCUUGGGGCGGCCGAUGAGGCGGCUGCGGCAGCAGUAGCUGUCGAAUGAGGCCCGGACGCCAUAGUCUUAGCGAGCCGCACGCAAGCCCAACGCAGCCGGAACCCGAAACAAGACUAACCAGCGUUCUCGGCGCGACGGAUAUUCCCGUGACCGCCGGGUUCUGGGCCGCUUCACGCCGCGUGCGCUUCCGCCCUGACGUCACCACGCCGGGCAGCCGCGCGCCAACUAGUCCCUCCAGGCCGCGCCUCCGCCCUCGGCAUCUGGGCCUGCGAGGGGAGUGUUGGGUGCUGCGACAGACCUUGGGAUCCUCAGAGGCUGAGGAGGCCUUCUCUAGCCAAGGCCGGUCGAAACCACCUUGUUUGUGAUAGCCACACGAAUAACGGAGCUUUACAAGAUCCCUUAUACCCAAAAUAGAGGUGGCAGCAUUGGCUAGCAUCUCUGCGCCCCUUCGCCCUGCAUUCCGGCCUCUUCCUUUAGCCUCGGCGCGGCUUGCGUUCCGCGUGUACCAAGGGAAGUGGCGGCCGACCUGAGCGCGCUUUGGCGGGUGGAAGUGGUGACUUUGUUGUCCUGUGUGGACGAAUGUGUAAUAUAAAGUGACCCUCAAGGAAUCUGGAGAGGGCUGCUUUACAGUAUUUGAAGAACACAGGGCUGUGGACCCUAUCGGUUCCCAAAUGAAAGCUCCCCGGGGAGCGUGUUUUUGCCAGUAUGGGGAAGUAGGGCGGAGGCAUAGGAAUGACCGCGAGAGUGGCUGCUUUCAUAGCUCCGCUUGCGAAACUCCUGCCCGGCCUUUGACACCGCCACGGCUUUCAGUAAUCUGGAAAAUCCCUAGUUUCCAAAAAUAGUCUUAGGGCGAGGACUUGACAGAGGUAAUUUGAUUAUGCCUGGGAGUCUCUAUUCAUACAUGGUUACCUACCGCGGGUAGGGUGAGGUCAACCUCGUGUUUUUUGUUUUUUUUCCUGUGAUAUUAGCUAGCAAUUUCCAGCGUUUCCUGAACCUUGAAGUAAAAACAAUGAUACUGAUCUAAACUACUAGAAUCUAGGUUGGAAGGAAAGGAAUGCAUCACGUUUUACUCUUGACGCUCAGAAAGCGAUACCCCAAAGACAGAGGCUUUAGAAGCUGCCUCAUAAUGCAGGUCCCCCAACCUUGACUUGUUGCUCCCACUUUUCCCAAGUGCAGGGAGGUACUCUCUGAAAUUUCCUUUCCUGACUAGAGAAGCCUCUUUGUAGAAGAAUCAAUCGCAUUCCUCCCCUCGCUGAAAUCUCGUAUCCUAUUUCAAAAAGACUCAGAAAUGCAGCCAUUCCUGGAGGGACUUUUUCACAAGAUUACUCAAAAGAAAAUUAUUUACUAAUUUCUGUCCAUUCAUUGUUCCUAAUAAUCAUUUGCUGCUCCUCAAAAUAAAUGUCUACAUUUCUCAUCUACCCUUUCCCCUAUGAAAAAAAGAUAUAAAAUCUUCUGUACUCCAUUAAGCUACUGGGUAAUCAUCCUCCUGCUUUUACCCCGGUGUUAUGUAUCCCUUUUCUCCUGUUAAUCGCCUGUUAUCAGUUGAUUUUUUUUUUCUUUUUUUUUAGAUAGAGUCUCACUCUGUCGCCCAAGCUGAAGUGCAGUGGCGCGAUCUCGGCUCACUGCAGCCUCCGCCUCCGGGGUUCAAGCGAUUCUCCCACCUCAGCCUCCCCAGUAGCUGGGAUUACAGGCACACACCACCACGUCCAGCUAAUUUUUGUAUUUUUGUAGAGACGGGGUUUUGCCAUGUUGGCUAGGCUGGUCUUGAACUCCUGACCUCAGGUGAUCCGCCCGCCUCGGCCUCCCAAAAUGCUGGGAUUACAGGCAUCCAAAGCGCUGGAAUUACAGGCAUGAGCCACCGCACCCGGCCUUAUCAGUUGAUUAAGUGAACCUUCAGUGGGCAAAGUUGUUUUAAAAUGUACUGAUACUUGAGCCUUGCCUGCAGAGGUUGAUGUCACUGAUUUAAGGUGGGCCCAGCCAGUGGUUCAGUUUUGCCUGUCUUCGAGUGAUUGGAAUGUACAGCCAAGAGAGUGUAAUUAUGGUGCUGGCAGAAGUAUUAACCUAUCUGGAUGUCACUGUCUUCACUUUCUGACUAGGCUGCUUCCAGGGAAUCUUUCCACCUCAAUAUUUAUGAGAUAUCUAUAAUUUUAUAACAAACUUUUAAAGGAGCCUCGGUUUCCUUAAACACAAUUGAUGACACCAGUUUUCUGGUUUUCUUCCAUUUUUGUUUAUAGAGCCAGGGUCUCACUGUGUUGCCCAGGCUGGCCUUGAACUCCUGAACUCAAGGGAUCUUCCCACCUCAGCCACCUGAGUAGCUGGGACUAUAAGUGGCACACCACUGUGCCUGGUCAGUUUUCUGGUUUUGAUAAUCUAUGGUUGUGUGAGAUAUUAUCAUUGGGGAAAGUUGGAGGAAUACAUAGGAGUAGUCUAUCUUUGCAACUUCCAUGUCUUAUUUCCAAAUAAAAAGUAAAAACCCUCAUUGAUUAUGUACUUCAUUAAAACACUGGACUUCAAUGAAAUCAUCACCUAUAUUUGUAAUGACUUGAGAGUAAUAUAAUUUAACUUUUUUUUUGACUUCUGAACUUUUUAUUGGCCUCCUGCUCCCCAAAGGGUACCCUGCUUCUGAUGGCUUAAUGUCUCAGAACUUGGGUGUCGUUGGUCUCAGAUACCACUUUGCCAUCCACUAUCCAGCAGAUAGUGGUCUUUUGGAUGGUUUGCAUGGAGUUGCUGCUGUCCAGGGCAUCACCAAGAUUGAAGUCCUUGCCAUCUUCCAGCAGGCGGCGGUAGGUGGCGAUCUCAGCCUCUAGCUUGACCCUGAUGUUCAGCAGGGCCUCGUACUCCUGGGCCUGGCACUGUCCCUCUGCCCAGGCCUGUGCCAGCUCUGACUCCAGGUGCAGCAGGAUCCCGUUGAGCUGCUCCAUCUGCAGGGCGUGGCAGGCCUCCACCUCCCUCAGGCUGUUCUCCAAGCUGGCCUUCAGAUUUCUCAUGGAGUCCAGGUUGAUCUCCAAGGACUGGACUGUAUGUCUCAGCUCCGUGAGCGUUAUAGCAGCUCCAACCUCGACGGACUGCGUGGUGACCCCUGUGUUGCUCUCCUCAAUCUGUUAAGACCAGUACUUGUCCAGCACCUAUUGGUUCUUCAUGCCAGCUCAUCAUAUUGGGCCCGGAUGUCUGCCAUUAUCUUGGUGAGGUCCUGAGAUUUGGGGACAUCUACCUCCACAGUCAACCCAGAGCUGGCAGUCUGGGCUUGUAGGCCUUUUACUUCCUCUUCGUGGUUCUUCUUCAUGAAGAGCAGCUCCUCCUUGAGAGCCUCAAUCUAUCUCCAGCUGCAGCCGAGUGACAUUAGUGUCAUGGAUUUUGUUCCCAUGGAUGUUGUUCUUCAGAGGCUGGCACGUGGCCAGCUCUGUCUCAUACUUGACUCUAAAGUCAUCAGCAGCAAGAUGGGCAUUGUCAGUCUGCAGAACGCAUUGUCCACAAUAUUUGUGAAGAUCUGAGCCCUCAGGUCCUCAAUGGUCUUGAAAUAAUGGCUCCAGUCUCUGACCUGGGGUCCCUGCUUCUCCAGGUGCUCCCGGAUUUUGCUCUCUAGCCUCCGGUUCUCGGUCUCCAGGCUCCUCACUCUGUCCAGUUUUCCUGACUCUGAUUCUGCGUGGGACAACCAGUGAAAAUUGCAGGUGAAGAGAAGAAAUGCGUAUUUAUUCCUCCACUGGGAAAAAAAAUACCAUCCAAAGCUACAUGACUUGAGAGACAAGGUCUCACUAUGUUGCCCAGGCUGGCCUCGAACUCCCGGGCUUCAGCAGUCCUCCCGCCUCACCCUCCGAUGUAGCUAGGACUACAGGACCGCGACCCGGCGCUGCCUAAGAACUGUUUUUAAACGUGAAAGCCACGGCUAUCAUUUGCUUUUUGCUCUGCUCUUCAUCUUCUGGAUAAACCUCGUAACACACUGCUUGUUUUGGGUGGUAGUCUGCUGCCUACGCCCCGUCAGACAAGUGGCCUGAGUCCCCCGCAACCCCUGCAGGUCCGGCCGCCGGCGCCAAGCCUCAAGGCAUCCAAGCCAGGAACGAUCGCGGUCAGCUCUGCCACGGAACAUGUGCAAGACCCGGCAGCAGGUUCCGGGGGAGGCGAAUUGAUUUCACAACGGUCGAGAAGGAGGACCCCGCCCACUUCGUCAUUUCUCGGAAGCCCAGGGACUCGCCGGAAGAGCGGCUCAAAAGCCGGAAAACUGGCAAAUCCGAGUCUCCCGGCGCAUGCGCGGCGCAAUCGGCUUCGCGUGGUUGCAGUAGAGAGGAUCCCUCCGCCAGCCACUGCAUCCGGCGGCCGGAUCUAACUUACCCGCUAGCGUUUUACCCUUGCGCGGCCGUGGCGUAGGGCGGUCUUUUCCCUUGGUCCUCCGCGGCGCCGCCUCUUGUGACGUAAGCCGCAGAAUCCUCUGUCUUAGUUCGGCUCUAUUGCCGCGAGCUUGACUCUUCCUGGGUCUGAGGAAAAGUAAAAGUAAUUUUGUCAUUUCCUGAAACUUCAAGUUAAACCUUUAAGCUGUUCAUUUCCUAAAAGGGUGAAAACGCGGGCACCCCUCGAGCUAGUUCAUCGCCUUUUAACCUGUGAGUUCUGUUAAAAGGAAGUAACUGCAAAAUGUCUUCGCUGUUAGGUUUCUUUGGAAGUUUUGGGUUGUGUUCAUGCGUUCUCUCGGCGUGUGAACUGGGAGAAAGUGGAGUGCCAGCCAUAUGAAAUGACAACUGUAUAUGGAGGCUGGGAAGUAUAAUGCGCAUUCUGGCUUGAUGAAAUUAAUGAAAUUUUAAUUAAGUUUAAUUUUCAUUUGAAUUACCCAGGAAUAGCAUCUUGAAAGGCGGGGCAUAAAAAGCAGUUAAAGAGCUUCGAGAAACGGUUACUCGUUUUGUAAACUAAAGACCAAAUGAAAAUCCAGCUGCACUAGAAAAGAAAGAAACUUAUAAGGGCCGAAGGUUUUGUCUGCAAUUUACAGCUAAUUAGUCUCAAAGAUUUCUGUGAUUUGCCCAAGAGAGGUGGAGUUGGGGCCACUGCUUUACCCAGGACACCGCCGCGGCCCGCUUGAAUACUGCCGCCGUUAGGACCCGCCGUACCUGGCCGUCCAGGGCCUCUUUUCUUGUCUUCCACUCUCACUUGUCUUUUCUCCCCUUUCCAUGUUUUUGGUUCCUUUCCUGAGUUUCCCUUGUCUCCACUCCCCUGCCCCUUUGCUUCCUCUAUCUCUUUAACUUCUGUUUUCUUGAUGGUGGAGCCAACUUUAGUUUCCCUUAAAAGGCCAUAAAAGGAAAUAGAAUAAUUUUAAAAAUGUCUUUUCAUAAGGCUUGUUUUCUUGUCUUAAGCCUGUUUUUUGGUGGGGGGUGAAAAAGUUCAUAUGCAGAUAGACAUAAACUUCUUUUGGUAAAAGCUGCCCUCUAUUUUCUUCCAUAGCUGUCCUGUGAAAGUAGGAGUGUGUGUGAAUGGUGAAGCAAAGAGAGGGAGACAUGGGGUCAGGAGAAGAGGGAGCACAGCGUGUGUAAGGAGUUAAUUAGAACCAGAGGGCCUGGGUCUGUGGCUCAUGCCUGUAAUUCCAGCACUUUGGGAGGCUGAGGCGGAGGACCCUUUGCACCACUGCACUCCAGCCUGAGCAACAGAGUGAGACCCAGUCUCAGAACAAAAAAACAGAAACAGGAGAAAAACCAUCCAUAUAAGCAGAGAGGUACUUAAAAUGUUGCAAAACUAAAUUCCAAAUAACGUCUGUGGAUUCUACAAAAUCUAGGAAAUACACAUUUCCAAUAAAUCUUUGUACAUUCAUCUGUAAUGCAUUUCCUUAGGUGAUUUGAGUCCUUUAGGAGUAAAUCUGUAUCUUUAGCUGUCCCAGAAGUAAUCACAGGCGUUCAUUGUCUAUUCAAUGACAAAGUAUUGUGAACUAUUCUAUGAAAUAAUAAAAUAUCAGUGUUUUCAGAGUACAUGGCCUUUUCAGUAGCCUUUUCAGUGUGGUGGCACGUGUUCCCAGUUCUGCCAGUGGAUAUUGUUAUCUUUGAUCUACAACUGGGAAGCUAAAACCCAGAAAGUUACUUGUCUAAGACUAUACACCUCCAAGAAGGCAGAACUGUGGCUGCUAUUUCCAACUUUCUAGUCUCUGAACAUGUAAUAAAGAACUGAUUUCCAAUUUACAAUGAAUAAUAGAAUUUACAAUGAAUAAUAUAAUUUACUAUAAUAUAACAACCGACCAAAGUGUGCUGUUUUAUUACCAAUUUCUCUCUCUCUCUCUCUCUCUCUUUCUUUUGUGACAGAGUCUCGCUCUGUUGCCCAAGCUGGGGUGCAGUGGUGAGGUCUCGGCUGACUGCAACGUCCGCCUCCCAGGUUCAAGCGAUUCUAACUGCGUCAGACUCCCCAGUAGCUGUGACUACAGGCAGGCGCCACUACACCUGGCUAAUUUUUGUAUUUUUAGUAGAGAUGGGGGCUCACCAUGUUGGUCAGGCUGGUCCCAAAUUCCUUGCCUCAAGUGAUUUGCCCGCCUCGGCCUCCCAAAGUGUUGGGAUUACAGGUGUGAGCCACUGUGCCCACCCCAAUUUGCUUCUUUGGUGUUUGUAAUUCUGCUUGGUCAACCGUAACUUGCAGAAAUUGAUUGGAACAUAUAUUUUGAUAAAGUAUUUGAAGGUAUUCCUGAAGUUUGAUUUAUGUUUCAGCUGCCUAUACUGAAAGAAAAUAAACUGCUGUGUAUUCCAUAAUUUAAAAAUAAUUGUUCACUUUAGUGACAUUUUGUAGUUGGAUAGUGGAGACAAAAGAUGAUACUCUCUGUGAUCUUCAAUCUAAACAUUUAUGUUAGGACAAAUUAUUCCCAUAUCUGUAUAAUGCUAUAUUUCUUCCCUGACCUCUACAAAUCACAGAAGCACCGUUAUUCGAUCUUGUUCUCUUUUUCAAAAAAUUCUACCUUCCAAGGUGGUGGUUCUUUAAGUUUAUAAGUGAACCAUAAAGUAGUUGGAAACCUGGAUCCCAGGAUGGUAGAAACAUGAAGCUUGUUUAUUCCAAGGACAGUUUUAUAUAUGUAUAGGACUUUAUUAUCCUUACUAUAUACAGCAUUUUAAUGGGGAGGGGGAACCAGGAGCAUUGUUGG
RNAcentral lists this long non-coding RNA (7582 nucleotides) under Homo sapiens (human). RNAcentral describes it as "HSALNT0315625". The record is from RNAcentral. Lineage: Eukaryota; Metazoa; Chordata; Mammalia; Primates; Hominidae.